GGGUGCGAUCGUACCAGCACUAAAGCACCGAUCCCAUCAGAACUCUGCAGUUAAGCGUGCUCGGGCGAGAGUAGUACUGGCUUGGGUGACCCGCAAUUUCUUUUCCUUCUUA
RNAcentral lists this ribosomal RNA (112 nucleotides) under Chrysanthemum zawadzkii subsp. latilobum. Lineage: Eukaryota; Viridiplantae; Streptophyta; Magnoliopsida; Asterales; Asteraceae. The record is from RNAcentral.